This 22-nucleotide microRNA is filed under the name Shrimp white spot syndrome virus. RNAcentral describes it as "wssv-mir72". The record is from RNAcentral. Lineage: Naldaviricetes; Nimaviridae.
AUGUUAUCAAUCACUCCCCCUG